Molecule: ribosomal RNA, 565 nt
Filed under: Streptomyces sp. 411G03
Lineage: Bacteria; Bacillati; Actinomycetota; Actinomycetes; Kitasatosporales; Streptomycetaceae
Also listed under: 1 other name
Description: bacterial SSU rRNA
Rfam family: Bacterial small subunit ribosomal RNA
Source: RNAcentral
UAGUGGCGAACGGGUGAGUAACACGUGGGCAAUCUGCCCUGCACUCUGGGACAAGCCCUGGAAACGGGGUCUAAUACCGGAUAAUACUCUCGCAGGCAUCUGUGAGGGUUGAAAGCUCCGGCGGUGCAGGAUGAGCCCGCGGCCUAUCAGCUUGUUGGUGAGGUAGUGGCUCACCAAGGCGACGACGGGUAGCCGGCCUGAGAGGGCGACCGGCCACACUGGGACUGAGACACGGCCCAGACUCCUACGGGAGGCAGCAGUGGGGAAUAUUGCACAAUGGGCGAAAGCCUGAUGCAGCGACGCCGCGUGAGGGAUGACGGCCUUCGGGUUGUAAACCUCUUUCAGCAGGGAAGAAGCGAAAGUGACGGUACCUGCAGAAGAAGCGCCGGCUAACUACGUGCCAGCAGCCCGCGGUAAUACGUAGGGCGCAAGCGUUGUCCGGAAUUAUUGGGCGUAAAGAGCUCGUAGGCGGCUUGUCACGUCGAUUGUGAAAGCCCGAGGCUUAACCUCGGGUCUGCAGUCGAUACGGGCUAGCUAGAGUGUGGUAGGGGAGAUCGGAAUUCCU